UAUGAAUGAUAUUCAAGACAUGUUGGGUUAUCGUCCUUGUAUUGUGUACAAAUACAUGUGGCAAUAUAUCAGUAUCUUUGCUAUGAUUGGACUACUGCUUGCAAGUUUGAUUAGAAUGUGCAUCAACCACCCAGUGUACCAGUCAUGGAACAUGGAAAAGGCUGAAGAGCUCAAGUUGGAGUACCCACCCUGGGCAUUCUCCCUUCUGAUCAUCCUUAUCAUCUUGGCUUCUUUGCCUAUCCCACUGGUGUUCCUCAAAGAAACUCUACAAGACUGGUUACAAAAACAGAGAACAAAAAGAUAUGGACAGUGUGAAUACAGUCAGGGUUGUACUGUAGAUGAAGUGACAGAACCUAUGGCAGAAAAUAUUACACGGUGUGGAAAUGGUUACCUGCAUGUAGAGAUGGAAGACCUUGCAGAAAGCGGUAAACUUCUUUCUCCUGAAGAAGAUGCUGAAGAGGACACAAAUAAUGUAAAGGCCUAAAUACAAUAGUUCUGAA
This is a long non-coding RNA of Nanorana parkeri, 500 nucleotides long. RefSeq lists it as uncharacterized. The record is from RefSeq and is a predicted model, not a curated record. The transcript is spliced from 3 exons. NCBI's taxonomy places the organism in Eukaryota, Metazoa, Chordata, Amphibia, Anura, Dicroglossidae.